GCUGAUUCAGAUCUGGGGCCUCUGAGGACCAGGCAUCCUCCAGGGUCACGUAGCCCCAGUGUGGCCUGGUCCCCUGGAGGCCUCGGAGCCGCUGACGGACUGUGACGGCCUGGCGCUGGUGCCCCUGGACAGCCCCGACAGGCACCUGAAGCUCCCGGCCAUGCAG
Molecule: long non-coding RNA, 166 nt
Organism: Orcinus orca (killer whale)
Lineage: Eukaryota; Metazoa; Chordata; Mammalia; Artiodactyla; Delphinidae
Exons: 3
Source: RefSeq, a predicted model, not a curated record